This 383-nucleotide ribosomal RNA is filed under the name uncultured eukaryote. RNAcentral describes it as "partial 18S ribosomal RNA". It matches the Rfam family "Eukaryotic small subunit ribosomal RNA", at positions 592 to 976 of the family's 1831-position model. The record is from RNAcentral.
CAAUAGCGUAUAUUAAAGUUGUUGCAGUUAAAAAGCUCGUAGUUGGAUUUCUGGUGGGAGCGAUCGGUCUGGCGCUUAGCGCGAGUACUUGCAUCGUCUCCGGCCAUCCUUGGGGAGAGUCUGUCUGGCAUUAGGUUGUCGGGCAGAGGAUCCUCAUCGUUUACUGUGAAAAAAUUAGAGUGUUCAAAGCAGGCUUAUGCCGUUGAAUAUAUUAGCAUGGAAUAAUAAGAUAGGACUUUGGUACUAUUUUGUUGGUUUGCGCACCAAAGUAAUGAUUAAUAGGGACAGUUGGGGGUAUUCGUAUUCCGUUGUCAGAGGUGAAAUUCUUGGAUUUACGGAAGACGAACUACUGCGAAAACAUUUACCAAGGAUGUUUUCAUUAA